This 608-nucleotide ribosomal RNA is filed under the name uncultured bacterium. RNAcentral's name for it is "bacterial SSU rRNA". The stretch from base 1 to 532 matches the Rfam family "Bacterial small subunit ribosomal RNA", at positions 338 to 873 of the family's 1533-position model. The record is from RNAcentral.
CCUACGGGAGGCAGCAGUAAGGAAUAUUGGACAAUGGACGCAAGUCUGAUCCAGCCAUGCCGCGUGAAGGAUUAAGGCCCUCUGGGUUGUAAACUUCUUUUAUAGGGGACGAAAAAGGGCUUUCUAGCUCGACUGACGGUACCCUAUGAAUAAGCACCGGCUAACUCCGUGCCAGCAGCCGCGGUAAUACGGAGGGUGCAAGCGUUAUCCGGAUUCACUGGGUUUAAAGGGUGCGUAGGCGGGCAUUUAAGUCAGUGGUGAAAUCUUCGAGCUCAACUCGGAAACUGCCAUUGAUACUAUUUGUCUUGAAUAUUGUGGAGGUGAGCGGAAUAUGUCAUGUAGCGGUGAAAUGCUUAGAUAUGACAUAGAACACCGAUUGCGAAGGCAGCUCGCUACACAAAUAUUGACGCUGAGGCACGAAAGCGUGGGGAUCAAACAGGAUUAGAUACCCUGGUAGUCCACGCCCUAAACUAUGGAUACUCGACAUUUGCGAUACACAGUAAGUGUNUGAGAGAAGANAUAAUAUACCACCNCGGAGACGACCGCGAGUAGUAACGUACGAAGAAGUAGAGACGUGAGAGNGCGACGGACGACGACGAGGGAGGAGG